This 433-nucleotide ribosomal RNA is filed under the name uncultured bacterium. RNAcentral describes it as "partial 16S ribosomal RNA". It matches the Rfam family "Bacterial small subunit ribosomal RNA", at positions 29 to 507 of the family's 1533-position model. The record is from RNAcentral.
AGCGAACGCUGGCGGCAGGCCUAACACAUGCAAGUCGAACGGAUCCUUCGGGAUUAGUGGCGGACGGGUGAGUAACACGUGGGAACGUGCCCUUUGGUUCGGAACAACUCAGGGAAACUUGAGCUAAUACCGGAUGUGCCCUUCGGGGGAAAGAUUUAUCGCCAUUGGAGCGGCCCGCGUCUGAUUAGCUAGUUGGUGAGGUAACGGCCCACCAAGGCGACGAUCAGUAGCUGGUCUGAGAGGAUGAUCAGCCACACUGGGACUGAGACACGGCCCAGACUCCUACGGGAGGCAGCAGUGGGGAAUCUUGCGCAAUGGGCGAAAGCCUGACGCAGCCAUGCCGCGUGAAUGAUGAAGGUCUUAGGAUUGUAAAAUUCUUUCAGCGGGGACGAUAAUGACGGUACCCGCAGAAGAGGCUCCGGCUAACUUCGUG